Long non-coding RNA from Sycon ciliatum, 2664 nucleotides. RefSeq lists it as uncharacterized. The transcript has 6 exons. NCBI's taxonomy places the organism in Eukaryota, Metazoa, Porifera, Calcarea, Leucosolenida, Sycettidae. The record is from RefSeq and is a predicted model, not a curated record.
GGUUGACAGGCCCGUCUUCCCCCCAGAUGAAACAGAUGAAACAAGAUGAAACGAGAUGAAACGAGAUGAAACAAGAUGAAACAAGAUGAAACGCCAAUGUACGGGCGCAGAUGGGGCCGAGAUGAAACGAAAUGAAACAAAAUGAAACAAGAUGAAACAAGAUGAAACAAGAUGAAACCAAAUGAAACUCGAAGUACGGGCGUAGAUGGGCCGCGAAUGAAACAAGAUGAAACAAGAUGAAACAAGAUGAAACAAUGUACGGGCGGAGAUGGGCCGCGCGCAGUGCACCCGGCGUGACGUGCACGAGCGAAAAGAACUGAAUUAAUCCAAUCAUUGAAAUAAUUUUGUUUGCAGAGGCAAUUCGCGCAAGGGAGAUAGGAAUUUGAUGGCUUGCGAGUGACAGCACGAGCCGAAUUUAUUGCCCGUGGAAGUACCCACGAUAGGAAUACACUGUUGGGAACAUGGUGGCGCCGCUGACGGUACCUAUGUAAGUGGAAUUACUUUAUUGGAAGUACCCACGACGGGGAAAAUAGUCUCUCUAGUAUUGUCGGUGAAUGGUGAUGGUGGUGGUGGCGAUGGCUACUUUCCUCUGCUCAGAGAGAACCCCUGCAUGUCCUUCGUCGUGAUGCGAAAGAGCAGUGGAUGCAGAAAAUGUCUCUACCUGCCAGGAUGGUAUAAGAGCACGAACUGAAUCACCUGUUGGUGCAGAAGGCUUGGAGGACUGCUUUUGAAACAGUUGUUCAAAUUUCCUGCACCUCUUCGUAGCCGUUGUCUGAUUGCUGCAUUCUGGGGAGACUGAAGUUAAGAAGCCCUCACCGAAACCAACACUACGUUGCUGUGUUGUUUUCUUCUAAGGUCGGGCACAGUAAAGGAGACGACUCUGUAUCAAGGCACUACCCAGAGGGAGGAUGUUGGCCUUCUCCUGAUGGGAAAAUGUCUUCUUUCUCAUGGCGUGGCCAGGACUGCACUGACCCUACCAUCCACUCUACCUCUCCGGAAAGGGACUUGACAACCAGUCAAGAUGGAUGUGCAGAGAUAUACCAGCGCUUCUAGCAUUAACUGCCAGUUUGCACUGACGCAGCAAGACUCCCCAACAGUCAAAAAGAAUAAUAUAGACGUGCAGAAAAUGUAGGAGAGCGAUGACAUCAGAAGGACACUCUCAGGUUCAGGGUACCUGUACUGCCCCAAUAAAGUGGGUCAGAUCCCAAAACGAGGUUGGCCGAAGCAAAAAAAUAGAAGAGCCUGCCUUGAAUCGAAUAUGAGGAAGAAGAAGAAGAAGACAAAGAAAGAGAAAGAGUAGGAAUUUGUUUGUGUAAACUUUGUUUCCUCUGUCUAGGCCAUCGCAUUAUAGCAGCCAACAGUGUGUGUGUGUGUGUGUGUGUGUGUGUGUGUGUGUGUGUGUGUGUGUGUGUGUGUGUGUGUGUGUGCGCGUAUGUGUGUGUGUGUGUUUGCGUUUGUGUGCACACGCUUGUGUGUGCGUAUGUGUUUGCAUGUGCGUAUAUUCUGCUCAUCUUGACUUAAAUUUCCACAUCUGGGCAUAUUGUGUUCUGUAUGUGAAUUUAUCUUCAUUAACUUGUGCGCUACGUUCCUUUCUUCACGUUACGGCACUUUAGUAUUGUUUUACUUGAACAUCAUACUCUCGCCCAACUUUGUUUCACCAACAAAGGUUUAUUUUCUAAUUGAUUGUGUAUGAGUUUCAUACCACUGUCAGGGGCGUCGGAAGGUAUUUUAGUGUGGUACGGUCAGCCAUCUGAAGUACAAUUGACUCGUGGGGGAGUGGUGGCUGAGCCGAAAAUUUUGGAAUUUUAGAUCCCAGAUCAGUGUAUUUUGUUGAUUCACGGGGUAUCUGGGGCAAAAAGUGGUACGGUCAAUACUGUAGUGACCGUACCGUGUGCGACGCCCCUGACUGUUGGAAUCCACCAGCUGUGUUUCCUUGAGGGGCGUAUCCUUACCUGGGAUGUGUUUUCUCAUUCCCGGCAGCAACAAUAUGUAUAUAAUUUAAGAAUAGAAUUAGAUGUACAGGAGAGUGCCGAUUAUCCCCACCCCUCGGGACGCGGGCUGUCUCCAGAGGGUUCAGAUGAGAAGAAUGUUCGGAUAAGAGAGUAGUCACACAUCAAUCCAAAUCAUGCAUAUUCCAGCAUGUUUUCAUCAUUUUCAUUCUCUUCAGCAGUGCAAUAGGAACUAGGUGCACUCAAGCUCCUCUAAAUUAAUGACACUAUUAUUACACAUUUUGACUCAAACCUGUUGUAAUACAUCUUGUGAAUCGCUUCAAUGGUGCCCUGAGCGACGAAAAUCAACAACUUGAAACUCAUCUUCUACCCCUCAAUUAAAUGCAAGCAAUUAUUUUGGAUAAUUAAUCAUUUGGAUAGUUGAUAUUAGGAUAAUCGGCACAUUGUGUGUGAUGGGGGGGGGGGGGGAGAGGAAGAGGAGGAGGCUGCGAGAGGCCGUGGUGGACGUGUACUUGUGCAGAGCCUGGAAAAAGCCUCACUUUAGAUGUAUGCACAUUCAAACGGUGGAUGCUUCCCGCCAUCCUUUUCCCCCUCUUUUUCCUUUUCCCGCCAUUCUUUACCCCCUCUUUUUCAAUUUCCCGCUCUUCUUUUCCCCCUCUUUUUCCCCCUUUUUCUCCCCUUUUCCCCCUUUUCUGCGAGAAGAUUAGCCCCCUCC